AGCUCAAUUGGUAGAGCAGCUGACUUGUAAUCAGCAGGUUGCGGGUUCGAGUCCCAUC
RNAcentral lists this transfer RNA (58 nucleotides) under Bacillota bacterium. RNAcentral's name for it is "Firmicutes bacterium (anaerobic digester metagenome) tRNA-Thr". It matches the Rfam family "tRNA", at positions 9 to 63 of the family's 71-position model. Rfam says of the family: Transfer RNA (tRNA) molecules are approximately 80 nucleotides in length. Their secondary structure includes four short double-helical elements and three loops (D, anti-codon, and T loops). The record is from RNAcentral. Lineage: Bacteria; Bacillati; Bacillota.